GAUGAACGCUGGCGGCGUGCCUAAUACAUGCAAGUCGAGCGAACGGACGAGAAGCUUGCUUCUCUGAUGUUAGCGGCGGACGGGUGAGUAACACGUGGAUAACCUACCUAUAAGACUGGGAUAACUUCGGGAAACCGGAGCUAAUACCGGAUAAUAUUUUGAACCGCAUGGUUCAAAAGUGAAAGACGGUCUUGCUGUCACUUAUAGAUGGAUCCGCGCUGCAUUAGCUAGUUGGUAAGGUAACGGCUUACCAAGGCAACGAUGCAUAGCCGACCUGAGAGGGUGAUCAGCCACACUGGAACUGAGACACGGUCCAGACUCCUACGGGAGGCAGCAGUAGGGAAUCUUCCGCAAUGGGCGAAAGCCUGACGGAGCAACGCCGCGUGAGUGAUGAAGGUCUUCGGAUCGUAAAACUCUGUUAUUAGGAAAGAACAUAUGUGUAAGUAACUGUGCACAUCUUGACGGUACCUAAUCAGAAAGCCACGGCUAACUACGUG
Molecule: ribosomal RNA, 497 nt
Filed under: uncultured bacterium
Lineage: Bacteria
Description: partial 16S ribosomal RNA
Rfam family: Bacterial small subunit ribosomal RNA
Source: RNAcentral